GAUGAACGCUGGCGGCGUGCCUAAUACAUGCAAGUCGAGCGAACAGACGAGGAGCUUGCUCCUCUGACGUUAGCGGCGGACGGGUGAGUAACACGUGGAUAACCUACCUAUAAGACUGGGAUAACUUCGGGAAACCGGAGCUAAUACCGGAUAAUAUAUUGAACCGCAUGGUUCAAUAGUGAAAGACGGUUUUGCCGUCACUUAUAGAUGGAUCCGCGCCGCAUUAGCUAGUUGGUAAGGUAACGGCUUACCAAGGCAACGAUGCGUAGCCGACCUGAGAGGGUGAUCGGCCACACUGGAACUGAGACACGGUCCAGACUCCUACGGGAGGCAGCAGUAGGGAAUCUUCCGCAAAGGGCGAAAGCUUGACGGAGCAACGCCGCGUGAGUGAUGAAGGUCUUCGGAUCGUAAAACUCUGUUAUUAGGGAAGAACAAAUGUGUAAGUAACUAUGCACGUCUUGACGGUACCUAAUCAGAAAGCCACGGCUAACUACGUG
This 497-nucleotide ribosomal RNA is filed under the name uncultured bacterium. RNAcentral describes it as "partial 16S ribosomal RNA". It matches the Rfam family "Bacterial small subunit ribosomal RNA", at positions 28 to 507 of the family's 1533-position model. The record is from RNAcentral.